RNAcentral lists this ribosomal RNA (253 nucleotides) under uncultured bacterium. RNAcentral describes it as "partial 16S ribosomal RNA". It matches the Rfam family "Bacterial small subunit ribosomal RNA", at positions 524 to 776 of the family's 1533-position model. The record is from RNAcentral.
UACGUAGGGUGCGAGCGUUAAUCGGAAUUACUGGGCGUAAAGCGUGCGCAGGCGGUUUUGUAAGCCAGAUGUGAAAUCCCCGGGCUUAACCUGGGAAUGGCAUUUGGGACUGCAAGGCUUGAGUGCGGCAGAGGAGACUGGAAUUCCCGGUGUAGCAGUGAAAUGCGUAGAUAUCGGGAAGAACACCCGUGGCGAAGGCGGCUCUCUGGAACGCAACUGACGCUGAGACGCGAAAGCGUGGGGAGCAAACAGG